CACUGCCUAUUUCACUACUUUGUUUUUUUAUGUAAUAAAAAAAUAACAAAUUAUAUUUCUCAUGCCUUUACUUUGGAAGGUCUAAAUCAUUAGGCUGUCUAUUCAAAUUUCCUCACUUGCUAUCCAAAAUAAGUGACAGCGCCUUCUCAUAUAUUCACGUUAAAGUAUCUUUUCUUCAACAAACAGCGAGUGAUAGAACAUGCUGGUAAUGAUUAUAUGGGACCCUUUUUUGUCUUUUUAUUUUUUUCCAAUUUCCCUCUUGAGGAUCAUUAUCUCGUUAAAAUCUCUAAGGCAACAAAGAUCCAAAGGAGAUUUCAAAAGGUUUCAAAUUUGUGAUUAUUGUUUUAGUUGGUAAUCACAUGGAUAUUCAUAUAUCUCUCUUAAUUACCCUCCUUCACUUUCUAAUUAGCCAAAAAGUUCGGCCAUUUUUUUUUAAUUUUUCAUGAUAAACAACAAAAUUAUGGUGCUUUAGCCCUAUGUCACUUUUGGUUCUUAUUGGUAAUCAAUAUCUCUAUUGUCAUCAAAUACAAUGUUGACUUAUUUAAAGAAUAUAACACUUUGGGACAACAUUGUAGAUCUCCAAGAUAUUCGAAUAUACAAUUUUUCUCAUAAUCGUUGUAUCACUAGUUGAUUAUCAUAAUUAAGAAAAAAAUUAUGUUGCCGAUCAUUUCAUAAUUUUAGAAUUGAAAACGCGUAAUCAUAGUCAAUAAAAUCUAAAUUUACAACUAUUCUCAUAAAUCUUAUUUAUUUAUUUAUAAUUUGAUGACAUCUCAACUUCUUUCCCACGCAUGAACGUGGUUCGAAUGACCUAAAUUUUUUUGUAUACCACAAAUAAAAUUUAGUGACUUAGUUAACUAGCAACCGUAUGCUCAUACAUUAAUUCUUCGUUAUUCUUGAAUCACUUCUCGGUGAUCAUUAUUGACCGUAGCCAUGUGAUUAAUCCACAAAUAAAUCAAAUGGUAGAGAAGUGUGGGCAACUUCAUACAUAACAUGGCACAAAACCAUAUAAUUCCAUAGCGGAAAAUUUUCUUGCAUGAUAUUAAUUCCAUAAGUUCAACUUGGUCUUGAUAAUAUGUUAUCAUCACACAUUCAUGGACCCCCAAAAUUGCAUCCAAAGCAAGUGAAAAUUACACUCCAAUCACAUUGCACCGAAUUUCUCACCACACCCUUACAAAGCCAAAUGGAGUAAUCCCAUUGGUGCUUGUCAGUCACACACCUAAGCCUGCAUAGAGAUAAUUAACUUUAUAUUAAGGUCUAAAUCUUGACUUAGAGUAAGGUCUCACAUGGCAAUAACACUCUCUCCUUCAAACCCUAAUAAUUUUGUUCUCCACUUAACCAUGAACAGUCAUACUAUUGAGAUAAAAAAAAGAAAGAAAGAAAAUGACAAUUCAUGAGAGAGAGAGAGAGAGAGAAGUCAAAACACUGAGAGUGGCCACCAGCCAAGGGUAAUGCCACAGUGUUAUAUUUUUGUGCUGCACAAAAAUUAAAGUGGGAGCCACUUAUAAAACCCCACUCUCUUUAACGUAAGCCAAUCUUGUUUUUGGUUUUUCCUGUAUGUUCAAUUCUUUCAUCAUUCUCUUGUGGAACCCUAACGUUCACUUUUUUUUUUUUUUUUGGCCUCCUUUCUUUCAACGAGGCAAUUUGGAUCUUGCUGCUGCUUAAUUAUUUCUUUUUGCCGCACAUGCUUUUGGCUUAUUAUUAGUUAUUACUAGCUAGUCUUUUUUGCUUUGCAACUUUAAUUAUGCAUUUGCUUAUUAAUAGUCUUUCUUCUAUCAGGCUAAAUAUAUAGUAACUCAAUUUAGCAGUUGUUAAGCAGUCCACCGAUCACUAGAAAAUGAACAUGGAUUCAAUUAUAAACUACGAUAUUUUAAAAUCAACUCGUACAAGGUAAGAAAUACUCAAAUUUAGUCAACACGUAUAAUUUACGUCUACAUAUUAUUAAAUUUGAAUUAUUCAUGCUAACACAACAUUGUAAUUAAAAUUUAACAGCAUUUGUGGGAUAAUAGGUGGCCUCCUGUUGAAGAAAAAACACUCAUGAUGAUCCGUACGUGACCAGGCGGGGUAGACCUUUGAAGAGGAACCUUCAGCGUGUACUGAGUUUCUUAUCCUGCUUGACCACAAAGGAGGGGACCUAAGCCGAUGAAAACGCAAAAGAAAUAAUACAAAACAAGUUAACAUUUUCUCUUUAGCGAUCUUUAGCAAUCGUGGAUUGGUGUCCAGUAGUAUAUUAUUCCCAGGUGAAGUAAAUAGUUCAGUUUGGGCGGGCAUCUCUUGAGGGGUUUAAACACGUAAUCCCAAAUCACUUGCAACACUCACCCUCGUAAUAAAAGAUCAUCUCAUCCUGUGGUGGUCGACAUUCCAUUCCCACUAUAUAUGUUGCUAUUUACUAAACUUCAGUUAAUAGAAUAUCAAGUCCUUAAUACGCACCAUAUACUAAACUUCAGUUAAAAGAGUAAGUACUAAGCAGAGACCACAGUUCUCUUCAUCAUUUAAUGUCUCUGUCAAUGCCAAUAUGUCAUUACAUUCCAUCUACGUUGAAAAUCCAAGAUUUUGAAGUACUAUUACACCAAACCAAUUCUUUGAAGUACUAUUCCACCAAACCAAUUCUUUGUCUCAUCAAUGGAGACAAUUUGUUAAAACACUAUAAUAAAAUUUUUAUAUGCAAUGUGAAUUUCUGUCUCCAAUGUACAUGCAUAUGUGGUCCAACUAGCUGAAAUCUCCUGCAAUCUGCCGUGAGCCCAUGUGCGUUGUCAUGUACUCUCACUCUAAACAAAGCAAAAUUUGAGGUUAAUAACCAAUAUCAUCAGCUGGGAUGGCUUGCCAAAUAAUAUAUGACAACAAAAUGCUUUUGAAGCAUUCAGGUUUCUGAUGUAAUCGGAAUUGCUUGAUGCAGUAGAUGCAAAUCAAAUAACUAAUGUUAAACCUGUGAUCAAUUCAUAUUGCUUUUGGGUUGGAAUAGUUUUAGAUCGGUUUGUGAUGAUAGUGCAGUUCGAAUAUUGGUCACAGAAAGGCCAGAUAUGUUUUCUAAAUUUUUUUAAAAGAAAUUAAACCCCACUAAUGCACUUAUUUAUAUAUUGAUUUGGUUAUUUUUAAUUGAUAACAUAGGGUGAACACGUACAAACGAAAUUCUGAACACGAGACAUUAAUUUUGGUAUCAUAUUAAAUAAAUCAAUAACACAAAAACUUUAGCAGUUAGAUAAAAGGUCUCAAAAUCAGUAUUCAGAAAAGACAAACCUUAAUAUAUGAAGUAUGGUGAAAAUAGAAUAGGAAUUGAUGUAGGAUAAGUAAAGUGAAGCUAUAAGUUUAGAUACCCUUUUCUAGUUUCAUUAGGAUUUGUUUUAUAUUUUCUAGUUUGAUUAAGAUUUGUUUUAUAUACUAUUUUUUAAGUUAUAUUCAUUUUCUUAUAAAGAGUUAUAAGUUUAUCAGAAAUAAGAUAAUUCUAAUUAGCACACAAAUAGGCUUGCUAUGCUUGUUUCCUACGCCUACAAGCUUUUUAUUAAUAAUAUAUAAUUUUUUUUCAAUUGCGAUAUUUUCUUCUUUGUGAGAGUUGAAUUUUUAAAAACAUACAUUAGAACCACAUCAAAUAUCGCUUUUGCAUCAAAAUACUGGAAUCCCAACAGAAUUAAAAAGUAAAUUAAUAAUCCAGUUAAUUGAUUCACUUUGCACAUAAAUAUUUCCUAUCCUUUCUAUGGCUAUUUCGAAGCCUUGUCUUUUACCUUUUAAAGUUCUUGUCCUGCGGAUUGUUUAAAAUAUUUAAAUUAUUGUUCUAAAUUAGUUUUUAAAGGAAAAAAAAAGAAAAAGAAAAUGGCGAGACUGAGAUAUUAUUGUCUUUAGAACGAAAGCGAAGGGACAAUACAGUCCAAUGAUAUUAAGACGCAGACCGCUGAGAAGCGGAAAUUGAGACGCGGGCAAAAAUUACGCGUGGGCAUGUGGCGUGGGGAACACAUCAUCAUACCCGAAAAUUGCAACUAAAUUGCUGGUAGUGGUAGGGUCCUGCUCGUCACGCCCGCCAGCCCAGGCCCGCCUGCCAGAACAGGUAUCAGUGCACAUGACAGUCACGUGCUGCCUCGAUAACCAUUCAGAUCGUGCCACGUACUCACCUUUCAGCUGUUUGGACAUGAUGAAGGGUUUGAAGGGGACAAAGCGUUGUGGGCCGGAGAGUUGAAGUAGGACCCAGUGAGCAUUCUCAGUCCCUCUUUUGCUUGCUUUGUGUUGUGCACAGUGUACAUCACCAAUGAUCAGAUUGGCGUAGCUUUUUGUGUACCUUGGUCCCUCUGAUGUACAUUAUUAUUGGCAUUUGGGGUAGUUUCGUACUUUUGACUAUCAAUCGACUGUUUUUUUGUCUUUGGGCUGGAAAAGUUAAUCACGCGCCUGUUGUAUACGUGGCGAGUAGCGUGGUCAUACCAACCUGCGUUUGUUUUUUUCUUUCUUUUUUUCAACGAACAACGAACAAUCAAUUUCGUAUUUUAUAAAAUUAUUUGUUACUUAAGGUCCGUAUGUUAAUAAUGUACCUUUAAAAAAUAAUUAGUGAUAAAUGUACUAUAAAAAUAAUUAAAUGUAAAGAAAAUUAGUUAAAUAAUUGAUUAUUUUUUAAAAAAAUACUGUAAAUUUUAAAAAUAGUAAUAUGUGCUUGGUAGAUCUUAUAAUUAAGGUUUUGUAAAAACAUAAAUUAUUAAAAUAGACAAAAUGAUAUAUAAAAUUUACUUAUACAUUCAUAAAUAAGUAAAUGAAAUAUUUUUUAUUAUGUAUAUAUAAUAAUUGAUAACCAAAAUAAAUAUUUUAAUAGUAUUUUAAAUUUAAUGAUUUUAUUUCCUAAUUAAGACAAAUAAUUUUAGAUUUUUUUAUAAUGUAUAUUAUGAUAUAUAUAUAUAUAUAUAUAUAUAUAUAUAUAUAUAUAUAUAUAUGUAAGUAUAUUAAAUAUAAAAUUGGUUCUCAAAAUUAAAUUUUUGAAAAGUUAUUUAUUCCCUACUUUUUGAAAUCUACUAUAAGAGAGUUUUUUUUUUCAAAAAUGAUUUAAAAAAAUUCUCAAUAUUGAAAUUAAAUUUUAACUUUUCAAAAUUACUUUUAAACUUCUCAAUAGUAAUCUCAAACAGACCCUUAAUCCCACUAUUCAAUAGAUUAAUGUCACCUUAUUUAAAAUUGUUAAAAUUGAGAUUACCUAACAAGCUUUGCAAAAUUGAAAUCACUCUCUCUAACUGUGCAAACACAAAGGUGUCAAUUAAAAUUAGCAUCAAUAUUGACUAUAAUUGACAAAUCACAAAGCUUGAUGGGAUUUAUACACACGAAAAUUAAUGGACAAAAAAAAAUGUAAAAUUUGAAGAUGAGAAUUAUGUUUUCUGCCUUGGUCCCCCAACAAAAACAUCAGCAUAGUUGCGCUCUUAUCUUAUGUGAAAAUUUUUGAACCCCAUAUGAGUUGUACUUAUAAGAGUAUAGUCUAUUAGUUGAUGCCUUUUUUUUUUUUUUUUGUUCUUGUUUCUUUGAAAUGUUAGGUCAUUUUUAUGGAUCAGACUACGGUGCAACUAUGGUACCGUGCCACAGUUGCAUCCAACCGUUGGAUGUACUUAAAUUAGUAGGGUCCACUGGCAUCCAAUGGCUGGAUACAACUGUGACACGGUACCACAGUUGCACAACAAAUUUCCCCCAUUUUUAGUACUAAUCAUUAAUAUUUUAAGUAAUGUAACAUGUCAUUAUAAUUUUUACUACCUAUUGACCAUCUCACGAUAGUGGAUUGAAUGAAUUUAUUAUCGCUAAUAUUAUUUAUUUUUAAUACCCAAAAUAAAUCUUGAAUUAAAAAAGAAAAGAAAACAGAAGCAUGGACCAACCAUCUCUGCUAUCCCUUUGCUUCCAGAAACAGGAAGCACGCAUUGUGGAGAAGCAAUGCAUGAAUAAAAAAAUAAGGCCACAAAGAUGGCUUCAAUUCCCAAAGUACCCUCAAGAAGUUAAACAACACAUACGUAGAUUACUAGAUUUCUUUAUUUCUUUCUUAGAGUGAAAAACACUUUUAAUUCUAUAAUUAUUAUUUUUCUUUUCCUUUUUCUUUUCUUUCAUAUACACACCCCACUUUUUGUUAUUCUCUGCUUUCUUUUCUAUUAAUUAGUUAAUUUUAGCAUCAUUAUUAUUAUUAUUAUUAUUAUUAUUAUUAUUAUUAUUUUAAUACUUUUACAACAUUCUGUUGAAAACGAUACUUGUUUCUAUUUUUGUUUGCAGCGGGAAUGUGACGACAGAAUUGCUUGUACUGGUCGGUUUAUCAACUUCAGUUUAUAUUUUUGUGCUUUUUGUGUUCCGUGGUGGGUUUUGGUCAAACAAGAUAUAAAUAAUUCCUUCUUAUAAAAUUCGAAUUUAUCAACCAAUCUUUAAUAUCAUCGUUGAAGCCUUCUUACUUCUUGAGAAUAGAACCAUUGAAGGUUCCAGACCCCUUCGAUUUGUAAAGGGAGUAAACUUUCUCAUGUUCUAAGAGUAGGUUUUCGAACUGAACUUUAAAUGGGUCACUAUAAUUGUAAUGUAAUAUUCAAUAAAUAAAUUAAUAAAUAAGAAAGAUUUGCAAUAAUAUUAUUCAUAGUAGUUAAAAAUAAAGUCGAAUUAAUCUUUUUUUCUUCAAAAUCUUGAUCAGCUCUCUUUUGCAUUAAUUCCGCCGACCUAAUCAACUUGUUAAUGAGAUAAAUUUCAAAAAAAAAAAAAAAAACCAAUCUGAUUAAAUAAUGCAAGCCAAUUGACCCCCACCCCACCUGAAAAUGAUACGAACGAAUAAAUAAAUAAAUAAAUAAUUGACAUUGAUAGUGAAGAGAAAAGAUGUUAGAUGGAGGUAUGCUAAAAUACCCAAAUUUUUAAGUGAAUAUAAUGAAAAAAAAUGUGCGAAGAUAAUUGUGUUUGAACCUUUAACCUUAUCUCACGAAAUACUUUAACAACAACAACAAUGAUACAAAGUAAAUGGUCAUCAUGGGAUAUCCUUUAAUUAACUUUUCUCAAGUCAAACUGGGGGCAGAAAGAGAACAAACAGAGAAUUUGGUAUUUAUAUUUGUCUCCUAUUAAAACUUAAAAGUGAGUAUUAUUAAUUGCUAGAAAUUCUUCUUGUUAAAGGAAUUUAUUAAUUGAUUCAUCUACACCCCCACAGACUGCCAAUAAAGUUUAGGACUCAAACUAAGGAAGCUAUUCUUUUUAAAGAUUUUUACUUUUGUAUUUUAUCAUUUAAUUUACUGGGAGGAAACAAAAUUGUAGAAUAUGAUGGCAGAGAUGUUAAAAUUAUGAUGAGGGUUGUCCUAAAUUUGAGGGUUUUUUUUUUGUUGUUGUUUUAUACCGGGGUUGUUGGAUGAAUAUAUAAUUAAAGUUGGUGGUUCAUUUUGUUUGAGAUUUUUGUUUUUGGUUAAUAGGUUUCAUUUGGUUUGAGAUUUUUUUAAUUGAUUUAGUAUGUAUAGAUAUUACAAUACAAAGUUUAUUGGAAAUUUUAUUAUAUAGACUUGUAAUACAAUUCUGAAGUCUAUCGAGAUUAACUUAAAAAUCUACUCUCACUAAUAUUUUGGAGAAAUAUUUACUUACCCAUAUAAGUGAGAAGGAAAAUCUUUGAGUUCCUAUAGACUUGUAAUAUCACCUAAGGGUCUAUCAAGAUUAACUUAAAAAUCUAGUGUCGUUAAUAUUUGAGAAGAUAUUUAGUCCACCAAAUUUGUAGGAGGAAAAAGAACACAUAAGCACUCGAACUUCAAAUUUGAGGGCACAAACCGUAUAUUAAGCCUAGACAUUAGUGGCCGUUAUUGUUUGAGAAUGAAUCAUGCAAUUAAUUAGCUGUGUUAAUAGAUGGUGAACCACUGAACCUUAAUUCAGUAAGACUCAAUGUUAGUUACAAAACGUAAAUUAUUAUUAGUUUUUGCUUUCAUCUCAAUGUUAGUAAAAAAUUACUAUUGUUUUUACUCAUAAAAAUAUAAAAAAUAUAUAUGUUGACAGGGGGUGAUAUUAUGAAAUCAAAAGGUGAAGAGACUAAAUUAGGUAAUAUUCAUUCACUCAUUCAUUUAUUUCAAACAAGCACCCGCUUCUUUAUUUAUUUUCAUGUUCUAAUUUUAAAUUAGCAAAGUCAAUUGUUACACUAAUUAAUAUUAUGGAGCAUGGUGAUUUGAUUGGCAUCCUAUUAUUUUCAUUUAGCAUGCUAGGACGCUAAUCAUGUUACUGGGAUAGUGGGAUCCCAUAAAAUUCAAUAAGCGAAAAUUAUUUUAGAUAGAGUUUUUUGAAUGAGUAAUGAUAGAUAUCUUAAAUUUUUAUCUCAUAUUUUACCCUAAAUAAAAUGUGAUCCAUUGAUUGUUUGAUAAUUUUUUUAUAAGAUACAAGUGAAUUAACUGUAUCAUUCUCACUAAUCAAUUGAUGAAUGCUAUAUUAUUUAAAAUAAUUUUUUAAAAUAAAUAAUUUGAGAUGUGUAACAUUAUCAGCUAAUUUAUUUCUUUAUGACCAAACCAAUGACAAUAAAGUAUUGGGAUUGUGAGCCAUUUAAUCCUUUUAAUUAAGCCCCAUUGAGAAAAGUCUGUAAAUCAGAUGGUGAUGAUCGCCAAUCAAAACAGUAUUCUUGAUAAUACUCCCAAAAUCUGCCUCAAUAUAGUAUUUGCUUAUCAAUGAUUUUAACAGUAAAACGAAUGAUGUUUGCUCAUUUAUUAAAGAAUGUGGUCCAUAGAGUUCCAAUUUCACCAGACACGCACUAAAUUGGGAAUAAAUAGAAAUGAAAUAAAAAGAGGAACUGAAAACAAAUAAUAUAUGAUAAUUUAAACAAGAGUGUGGGAAAAUUGGUGGGAAAUUGAAAUGACUUUCUUGGAUCCUGUGAGGAACAUCGUCACUGUUACCCACAUAUUUAAUCAAAUAUUGUUGUGUUAGCCGAAGAUAAAGGGAAACAAGGAAUGAUGAAAAGUGGAGGCAAAAGAAAAGGAAAAAAGAAAUCCAAGAAACCCAAAAGUAUUAGAUGAAGAGCAGACAAAGGUAAUAUACUUCAGGUGAGAGAAACAAACAGAGAAUUUUUCUUUUUUUUUUUUUAAUUUCUUUUUUCAAAAAAGAAAUACUAGUGCCAGUCUUUAGGAAUAGAAGCUAGUAUACAAAUAAUAACAAGAACAAAGAAAUUGAAAAUCAAAAACAAUCAUCAUGAUGAAACACCAUCUGCAACCAGCACUCCGGAAAAGCAAGAUCACUCUCCAUCAAAACCUUCCUUCCCAUAAAUUUACAUCUCUUAACACCACAAAAUUCUCAACCAAAUUCCCCACUUCUCAAAAUUGAGCCAUGAAACUUCCUCUUUUCUUCCUCACAUUCUUUCUGCACUUACUGGUUGUUUUCUCAGCCAACACACUUCCUCUCCCGCUCGUCUCUCUUCUCUCCAUCAAGGCUUCUCUGAAAGAUCCCUUCAAUAAUUCUUUCCAUCUUUUUUUUNNNNNNNNNNNNNNNNNNNNNNNNNNNNNNNNNNNNNNNNNNNNNNNNNNNNNNNNNNNNNNNNNNNNNNNNCCUAAAUCGUCUCAAAUCACUUCACUUGAUCUCUCCCGCCGCUCCCUGUCUGGUCCCAUUCCGCCGGAAAUCAGGUACUUAACGAGCUUAACCCACUUGAAUUUGAGUGCAAACGCCUUCGACGGGCCUCUCCAACCAGCCAUUCUCGAACUAACUAAGCUAAGAACAAUCGACAUCAGCCACAACUCCUUCAACUCAACCUUCCCACCAGGAAUCUCCAAGCUCAGGUUCUUGAGAAUCUUCAAUGCUUACAGCAACAGCUUCACGGGCCCACUACCGCUAGAAUUUGUCCAGCUGAACUCUCUCCAGCAGCUAAACCUUGGCGGAAGCUACUUCGACGGUGAAAUUCCAUCGGAUUACGGCAACUUAUCAAGCCUACGGUUUCUUGAUUUGGCUGGAAAUUCUUUGACAGGAUCAUUGCCACCCCAGCUAGGGUUGCUAACUCAGCUGGAGCGUAUAGAGAUUGGUUACAAUAACUUCCAAGGCGAAGUCCCAGUUGAAUUCGCUUCGCUCGUAAAUCUCAAGUACAUGGAUAUCUCAGCUUGUAAUCUCUCUGGCACCCUUCCGAGUGAGAUAAGUAACUUGACUAAACUCGAAAUGCUACUGCUGUUCAAGAACCAUUUCACCGGCGAAAUCCCGGUGAGUUACGGCAACUUGCAAGCUCUACAGGUUCUUGAUUUAUCCGAUAACCAACUCUCGGGGCCAAUCCCUGCGUCGUUAGCUUCUUUGAAAGGGCUGACGAGACUCAGCUUAAUGAACAAUGUCCUCUUCGGCGAAAUUCCGCAAGAUAUCGAGCUGUUAGCGGAUUUGGACACCCUGCUUUUGUGGAACAACCAUUUAACGGGAGUGCUCCCCCAGAAGCUCGGGUCAAAUGGCAAGUUGUUGACCGUCGAUGUCUCCUCGAAUUCGCUCACGGGUCCUAUCCCGCCGACUAUUUGCGACGGCGACAGGUUGUUUAAGCUUAUUCUAUUCUCCAACAACUUUACGUACUCCAUUCCAGAGAAUCUUGUAAACUGCUCGUCGUUGUCAAGGUUACGAAUCCAAGAUAACCAACUCAACGGCUCUAUCCCUCAAGGUUUUGGCCUCUUGCCGAACUUGACGUUCAUGGACAUGAGCCGUAACAGUUUAUCGGGAGAAAUUCCUCGAGAUCUCGGCAAUGCGCAGAAGCUGGAGUACUUAAACAUAUCGGAAAAUUCAUUUCAAACGAGCCUGCCGAGUAACAUAUGGAGCGCGCCAAAUUUGAAGAUUUUGUCAGCGAGUUCGAGUAAGUUGACAGGGAAGAUUCCGGAUUUCAUCGGCUGUAAGAGUAUUUACAAGAUAGAGUUGCAUAACAACUUGCUCAAUGGCAGCAUUCCCUGGGAUAUUGGCCACUGCGAGAAGCUCUUGCUGUUGAAUUUGAGCCGAAAUUCGCUUACGGGGAUUAUCCCCUGGGAGAUAUCGGGGCUUCCUUCGAUCACGGACGUUGAUCUUUCUCACAACUUCCUCACCGGCACCAUCCCUUCCAACUUCGAAAACUGCAGCACGUUGGAGAGCUUUAACGUGUCGUAUAAUCUGUUAACGGGACCGAUACCGGCUUCGGGGACGAUAUUUCCGAACCUUCAUCCGUCUUCAUUUAUCGGAAAUGAAGGUCUCUGCGGCCGAGUUCUGACGAAACCGUGUCCGGCAGACGGGCUUGCCGCCGGUGACGUGGAAGUGCGUAACCACCAGCAGCAGCCGAAGAAAACCGCUGGAGCUAUAGUGUGGAUCAUGGCAGCCGCGUUCGGUAUCGGAUUGUUUGUUCUCGUCGCCGGGACUCGGUGCUUCCGCGCGAACUACAGCCGUGGAUUCAGUAACGACCGAGAAAUCGGGCCGUGGAAAUUGACGGCGUUUCAGCGGUUGAAUUUCACGGCGGAUGAUGUAUUGGAGUGUUUGUCUAUGAGCGAUAAGAUUCUGGGGAUGGGGUCCACAGGGACUGUCUACAAAGCGGAGAUGCCAGGUGGCGAGAUCAUAGCGGUGAAGAAGUUGUGGGGUAAGCAUAAGGAGAAUAUCCGACGGAGACGAGGGGUGCUCGCUGAGGUGGAUGUGUUGGGAAACGUGAGGCAUAGAAACAUAGUGAGGUUGUUAGGGUGCUGCAGCAACAGGGAGUGCACGAUGCUGCUCUACGAGUACAUGCCGAAUGGGAAUUUAGACGAUUUAUUGCACGCCAAAAAUAAAGGAGAAAAUUUGGUGGCCGAUUGGGUGACGAGGUACAAGAUUGCGCUCGGUGUGGCGCAGGGGAUUUGCUAUCUCCACCACGACUGUGAUCCGGUGAUCGUCCACCGUGAUCUCAAGCCGAGCAAUAUUCUAUUGGACGGUGAGAUGGAGGCCAGGGUGGCCGAUUUCGGCGUGGCUAAGCUGAUCCAGAGUGACGAGUCCAUGUCCGUCAUCGCCGGGUCCUACGGCUACAUUGCGCCAGGUACGUUUUGUUUUUGUUUUCGAGUUCCUUUUUGUUGGGUUGACCAAAUGUUUGACACUGCAUAUGCGCACGUUAGCAAUCGUACAAAAUUAAAUUACAUCAUUUUAGCUCAAGUUAGCUGAGGUUGAUUAUGAUGAUAUUAGUCCAUACAUUCCUUUGUCCUUAGCUAAAUUGAGCAAAUCAAUCCCAUCCUAUUAUUCUUUACAGGAUCUUGACAGUAGAGUAGAGUUGGACGGACUUGACAACUGAGUUAUCUAGAUUAAGCGACGAUUUAGCUUACCUUACCCUUAAAAUUAACUAAUAAAAAAAUGAGUUUAUUUGAAAAUGACACAUUUAUGAUAUGGGGCGGUCGAUUUCGGCUCUAAAGUAAUAAAGAUUUCCCUUCUUUUUCGAUUAUCUUCAAAUUGUGUUUGAUAAAAGAUGGCUUAUGGAAUCUAAGACUUUAGAGACUUUGAAUUGAUUCUAAAUUUAGAAACGGGAAACUUUGAUUUAGAUAAUUUACAUCAUAAUUAUCGAACAUAAUUUUCAGAAAGCUAAUUUAAAGAAUAAAAAUACUGUGCUAAUUUUAAAUUUUGUAUUUCUAAAUUAGAUUAGAUUGAAAUAAAUUUCAUAAAGUAAUAAUAAUGAUACGAACACAAAUUUUUUACGUAUAAAAUGACGUGUCAAUAUAAUAUUAGUCAGAUUGAAAAGAAGAAAGAUUCAAUGUAAUCAAUGAAGUGGGCUCAUGCAUGGGUAUGGCCAUAAUUGAAAAUUUAGGGGGGACCAAAUGUUAUGAGAAUUAACAUUUUGGGAUUAAAGUUGAAAAAGAGAAUUUAGUUCUAUAGGGCUAAAUCAGAAAAUUAUUAUUUUAAAAGUUCAAAUUAUAAGGAAAAAAAUAAUUUUUUUUUUCAGCCAACGGAGACUUGAAUUCAUAUCCAACCACUAAUGUAUUGGCACGAAUUUAAACUGAUAAAAUAAUACUAAAUUAAGGAUAAGAAAAUUUGUACAAAUAGACUCAAUUUUCUUUUUCUCUUUACUAUAAUGGUUAGUACUACUAUGCGCCAGGGGGCGGGUUGUCCAAUUAUGAACACAUUUAAACAAAAGGGCCUGCUGCCGUUUAGAGUGAUGGGCAACGCCACAAGAGCACUAACCAAAGCAUUCAGUUCUCUGUAACAGUUUUUCAAAUAGUGGACUAAUGCGCGUGAUGAGACUUCCCUUUUUCCUUUAGCACUUUUUCUGUUUUCACAAGUCGGUUUGGCAAGAUUUGCCCAAUAUCUUUGGGUCCCCACCAUGAAUUUAACUUCAACAUUGACCAUCAUUAUGAUCAUUGACUUUAGGCAUCCAAUUGAACUUUUGUCUGUGUAAUUGUAUUUGCAGAGUAUGCAUACACACUCCAAGUUGACGAGAAGAGUGACAUAUACAGCUACGGGGUGGUGCUAAUGGAAAUUAUAAGCGGUAAAAGAUCAGUUGAUGCUGAAUUUGGAGACGGGAACAGCAUUGUGGAUUGGGUGAGGUCCAAAAUCAAGACUAAGGAUGGUAUCAAUGACGUUUUGGACAAGAAUGCCGGGGCCUCGUGCGCAUCCGUGAGGGAAGAAAUGAUGCAAAUGCUAAGAAUUGCAUUGCUAUGCACUAGCCGGAAUCCGGCUGACCGACCCUCGAUGAGAGACGUCGUAUUGAUGCUUCAGGAAGCGAAGCCGAAGCGGAAAUUGCCCGGAAGUUUGUUCGGCCGCGGCGGCGGCGGCGGCGAUGUUGUGAUUAGUGUUGGCGAUAGUGAUGAUGCUCUAGCCCAAAAGGCUACAGUUGAAUGUUAAUAGGAUUAACGUUACGUUUUUUCUUUUAAUUUUUUUUUUCCGGCUAAUUUUCUAAUGGUGGGGAUUGGUAUAGAAGUGAUUUUUCUUUUCUUUUUUUUUUCGUGUCUUUUUUCAAUGCAAUUUUCAGGUGUUAUUUUUAAAUUCGGGUGUUACAAGUUACAUUCUAGAUAAUGACUCUGGUUGUUGAGGCUUAUAUAUGAAUUAUGAGGUAUAUGACGUUGUUAGUUUGAAAUAUGGUGGGAUGACCGACGAAUAUAUGGGCAAGUUGUGCUUCGCGGCAUGAAAAGGCACAAUUUGAAAAAGUAACACAAUCGUGAUAAGGCAGAUCGGGCACAAUUCGAUAUACAGGAAUAUGAUUUAUACUUAACAAUAUAUUAUAUCGAAAAGGAUCUGUUGAUGCAAAAAUCUGGCUGUGUUUGUUGGAACGAUCAAAUUGCUACAUCAACACUUAAAUUUAUUCUGAUGGGGAAUGAUGUCGCUUACUUCAACGAGCAUAUUCUAACGAUCAUGUUAACUUUUGCACUUCUUACAUCUGUAAUCACAGAGAAGAGUUAGGAAACGCCGAAUGUUUUUUUGACGAAAAUCCUUUGAUGUUUAAGUUAAUUUUUGGAUUUUUUUGGAAAAAUUAAGCCACUGUUCAAUGUGACUUAGUAAUUUAUAUCUGGAAUAAAAGUAUUAAAAUGCACAAAAGGAAAAAAAAAAGUUCUGGAUUAACAAAGGCAGAGUUUCCCCCUAGUUUUUUUGUGUCUUGCAAGGCCAAGCAUCUCAAAAUACUUCUAAUAAUAUUGGCCAAUAUUUUGAUGAUUUUGGAGGAUCUAAUAAUGAUAUCUCAUAUUAUUAAAUAAUUGUUCUAAUUUAUGCUAGUAGUAGUAACUUUUUUAAUUUGUGUUAAUUUAAUUUUGUAUUUUUGAUUUUGUAAUAUGUAAUCUAGUAAUUAAUGUUAUUGCCAUUUUAUUUUUAUUAUUAAUUUUUGUGUUGAAUUUUUUAUUUAAAAUAUUAGUAUAAUAUUCAAAAAUUAAAAAAUGAAACAAUAAUAAUAAUAAUAACUUAAAAUAUUAUAUAAAAUAGGACAUCUAUGUAAAAAAAAAAGUAAUAAGGAUAUUUGUGAUUUUUUUCCUAUCACCAAAUGAAUAGUGUUGCACCAUAUUUGGUGCAAUACUAACACCAUUUUGGUGUUAAGGCCAUCUCCAAUGCUUAACAUCAUUUUAGUGUAACACCAACACAAAAAAUGUACAUUUUUCACACCAAAUUACUAUUUCAUCUCGAACCCAUUUACACUAAAUUUUACACCAAAAAGAAUAUUCUUCUUUUUAUGCUCAAUAAUUAAUUCAAUUAACACAAUAAAUAUUAAAUUCAAAUGAUACGAGCCCAAAAUAAGAAAAAAAAUUGGAGAUGGUCAUUUUAAGUUAUUAUUAUUAUUUUUGUUAUUUUUUAAUUUUUGAAUAUUAUACUAAUAUUUUAAAUAAAAAAUAUUCAACACAAAAAUUAAUAAUAAAAAUAAAAUUCCAAUAACAUUAAUUACUAGAUUACAUAUUACACUCUGAAAUGCACUAAUUGAUCAUUUAUGGGAUGAAUUAAGUAAUUCGAAUAACUAGAGUAUUAUUGUUAUUGUAUUGUGUUUUUCUAUAUUAUUAUUGUUAUUUAUUGUUAUUGUAUUUUUCUAUAAUAAUGUAAUGUUUAAUUUUCAUAAUGUACUAAUUUAGUUAAUUAAAUGCAAAUUUAAUAAUUUUCUAUAUUUUUUUGUUAAUCGAUAUAAAAUUACUUAUUACUUAAUUAUCUAUAUUAAUAGUAAUAUUUAUUGUGUUAAUUGAAUUAAUUCUUGAGAAUUAAAGGAAUAAAAAGAAAAAUAUUCUUUUUGGUGUAAAUGGAUUGAAGAUGAAAUAGUAAUUUGGUGUGAAAAAAGAUACAUUUUUUAUGUUGGUGUUACACCAAAAUAGUGUUAUGCAUUGGAGAUGGCCUUAUGAUGCAAAUUUUAUACUCAUAGCAGCAGCCCUAUUUGCAUGAAUUUAUUUUUAUAUUAUUUCAAAAUUUCAAACACUUUGUUUUGGUUUUACUAUGAGUUGCCUGGAAGUUUGUCCGGCCAAAUUGUUCCUUUUCUUUUAUUUUUUGUUUUAUUCUUUUUCCUUAUAUCUAUAGUUACAGAGAUUUUUCUUUAUCCAGAUUUAAAUUAAUUUGUAUAGAUAAUUUGGUGUUUGUUAUGAAAAUUACAUGUAAUCGAUCUAUUUCUGUACAAAGAAUGUAGUGUUGUAUCAGUUGGUGAACUUAUUAUGAUGGUGGAGGAUGAUUUAAAAGAGUGGGUGCAAGCUCUAAAGACUAAAAUAAUGCCGUGUACACUUAGAACAAAGGUAUCCAGACGUUCCACUGCACUGAAUUUCCUUCCUCUUGCUCAUUAUUGGUGUAUGUGGAUCGAUUAACUGUAAAUUUGUGAUUUGUCUACUAUAGACUUGUGAUUGUUACUUGACUAUAUAAUGCCGCUCAAUUGUCUGAAGUAGGCCCAGUUUUGAAGCUGUGGCUGAAGAGUAAAAUGUUGCAUCAAGUUUAUGAUGCCAAUUUAAAGAGUAGUCUCUUCAUGUGGGUCUUCAUUGUACUUUUAAAUUUGGUGAUUUUUUUUAAUAUUAAUAAUACAAUUAGAGAAUUUAACUUUUACGAAACACUAUCGCGAUUGCCCGACGACUUGAUAUCGUUUACAUUAUUAAACUCUUAUAAAGUACCGUUCAAAUUACCUAAUUACUGGUAUUACAUUUAGACAACUAAUUGAGAUUAUUAAUUUUUUUUUUUUAUCUUCUUGAAUAUUCAAGAGAAAGACUACGAUAAUCUCCACUCAAUUUUUUUUUUAUCUUUGAAGCUGUGGCUGAAGAGUAAAAUGUUGCAUCAAGUUUAUGAUGCCAAUUUAAAGAGUAGUCUCUUCAUGUGGGUCUUCAUUGUACUUUUAAAUUUGGUGAUUUUUUUUAAUACUAAUAAUACAAUUAGAGAAUUUAACUUUUACGAAACACUAUCGCGAUUGCCCGACGACUUGAUAUCGUUUACAUUAUUAAACUCUUAUAAAGUACCGUUCAAAUUACCUAAUUACUGGUAUUACAUUUAGACAACUAAUUGAGAUUAUUAAUUUUUUUUUUAUCUUCUCGAAUAUUCAAGAGAAAGACUACGAUAAUCUCCACUCAAUUAUUUUUAAUUGUAGAAAAAAAAUUGUGUCCAUUAAAACUCGAACAGGUGCCCUGACGGAUGUGAGAGCAGCAGCCCACCACUCGGCUUACCGACUUCAUGAAACAACACCGAGUGCUAUACGGGCGGCAGCAAGUGGCAAAAUUGGCGAAUCAUUUGAAGAGCAUUGUGGGAACAGAAACUGCCACACUACUAGCUCUUGAGUUCCUUUUCAGCCCAAGAUCUUACUAGCCCUUGGUCCAUUGGUGUUUAUAUCCUACAAAACUUGCAAUAAUUAAAUGACUAUGCUCUUUAGAGACAAUACUAAAUGGUACAACACUCGACUGCUCCCGCAUUCUUUUUUUUUUUUGGGGGGGGGGGGGGGGGGCUUAUUGACCUCGCAGAUUUUUUAUAUCCUCUGUACCAACCAUCAUUGAAUUAAUGAAUUUUACAUGACUACAUAUACCCCAACUUACAAUAAAGGAAACAUCCUCUUGUGUUUCUGGCCCACGCAUGCUGUAGUGUGGAAGAUCUUCUUCUGAAAUAUACAAGUAAAUUUAGUCGGUUCUUGACUCAACUCUCCAAUUAGUCGGGACUUAAAGAAAAUUUUCCUCUACAUAUUUAGAAGUACAUCCGAACAGUAUAAUAGACCCUUGCAAAUAACCCAUCCAUGCUUAAUGCUUUAUGGUUGUAAGUAUAGGAACAGAAUUAUAUAACUUCGAUCUGGUUCAGGAUCCAUAACUUUAUUAAAAAAUGAGAAAGCUAUCAAAUUGUAUAAUUUAAUAACUUAACUGUCAUUACACUAUUAAACUCUACCGUUUAAUAAUUUUUUUAAGUUUUAACAAAUCCAGAAUUAUAAAUUGAAACAUUUCUAUACGUUUGUAAAUAUAACAUUUAACCAAAAAAAAAAAACAAAGAACAAGCUUUUAAUUGAUGCCAGCUGCAUGACCUCAUUGACCCCCAAAAAGAAAAGAAAAAAAGAAAAAAAGAAAAAAAGAAAAGAGAAAAGAGGCCUAUUCACUCCAUUUUCACGUGAAGAGGUCGUAAAAUCCUCGCCGUUUAGCUAUUAUUGUUCGUUUGCAUGUACAGAAUGAGGACGACCUUCUUACGUCGUUCUAACAAAGAAGAAAGUGAACACGUAAGCGUGUGGAGAUGUCAGCAUUGAAACGUGGCUUCAAUUCGAAACACAUCGGCAUGCAAACUCGAAACUUCAGGAUCACUUCUCCCAGUUGAAUCUCUCUCUUUCUCUACAUAUAUAAUACACACACACACACACACCCCCCAAAUAAAUCAAAUGCACAGUUAGCAAGCGAAGUGAUCGUAUAUAGAAAGAAUAUGGCAACUUUUUGUUCAGGUAAUUCACUUAAUUUAGACUAAUUAGUUGAAAGUGAUGAUUUCAUUUUUUUUUUUCACUUAAUUUAUAAGAUCUUAUAUAUAUAUAAUUUACACGAUAAAAUUAAUUAAUUAUUUUACAGGUAAGACCUCGUGGCCGGAGCUGGUGGGUGAAAUUGGGGCGGUGGCCGCUGCAACGAUAAAGCUGCAGAACCCCAUCGUGAAUCCAAUCAUACUAAUGCUUGGAACUCCGGUGACUAGGGACUUCAGAUGUGAUAGGGUUUGGGUUUGGGUGGAUGCAAUAGGUCGGGUGAGCAAACCGCCUGUUGUUGGCUGAAUGAUAUGCACCUUUCCAUGGUAAGCCUAUAUCACUUUGUAAAUUGGUACCCUAAUUAGUACUGCAUUAUAUUGUCAUACUUAUGGGCUUAAUCGAGUGGUUUUCAAAUAAUUUUUUUUACGUCGACAGUAACCCGAAUGUGUUUUACUGUUUUAUAUGCUGGUCCAAAUAACAGUAAUGCUACUAAGUUUGAGUUGUAUCUAGAGUGAUGUGUGUAAAUGACGUGGCAUGUAUGCUGAUAUUAUUAAUCUAAUUAAAUCUCUCUCGAGUCUGUGAGUUAAUCAUCUUAUCAUUUUUCUUUCAUACAGUGAUGGAUAGUUCUUGUAGAGUAUCAGUUAGAGAAACGUAUGGCUGUAUGGGUUGCUGACGUUGCGGCCUGGGGGGCAAUUCGAGAAAAUCCUAAUUAAAAUUAACAUAUUGUUUUGUAAAAAAUUGCGUUUUGGGUCCUUAGUUUGCAGUUCAUAGUAUUUUUGUUCUCACUCGAAUUUGUAUUCUCUUCAUCUUAUCUCCCCUUGAUGAAUGAUUAGUAGUAUUGUUUCAUAUGAUGAAAACUCUUUCCUUGAUUAGUAGUAAGUAAUUCGAAGGGGCUAGUAGAUUCUGUGGGGGGAGAGGUCCAUUGGAAAACGAAGAUAACAUAUCUUAUAUUUGAGUUCUAUUUAAAAAAAAAAAAUUAAAUUUCUCUUUCAAUCUUAUUAUUAUUAUUUAAUUUAUGCAUGGUUGGAUGGUGAUACAUGUGAGAGCUUAGAUGAGAGAUGGUAGAAAAAACCAAGAGCAGUGAUAGGGGAGUGUUUUUUUCUCUUUCACCUCACGUAAAUUAUCCAUCACAUGCAGCACAAAAUAUAUAAAAAUAGAUAAUUGUAAACAUAUAAAUUAAGUGCAAAUCACAUGCGAAAAUUCGGACGCAUUAAUUAAUUAUAAUCUCUUGCCAUAAUUAUACAAGCAAAGAUGUGGAGCGAAACAAACGUACAGAAUGUGUCGGAAGCAAGGCAUAAGACUGAUAAACAAUUGCAUGCAUACAGUAUUUGGGAACAGCAUACAUGCGUAUUGUGCUCUCAAAUUAAUGAAUGAAGGGCAUUACAAUAUUAUCAUUUUAUUUAUUCCAGAAAUAGAUGGUAUUAGUUAUGAGAGGUUUUGUCUCUCGCUAGAUAUAUAUAUAUAUAUAUAUAUAUAUGAGACGACAACACAUGCAUGCAGGGGAGCAUGGUUUUAUUACAAGCUCAAGUGCUGGGUACUACGAAAAGUUUGAUUAGAAUUAAUUAAAACUUGCUUUCAAAUCCUCCGCCAACACCACCUCCAGAACCACCUCCUCCACCGGCACCGGCACCGGCACCUCCAAAGCCACCACCUUGUCCAUUUCCACCUCCAAACCCACCGCCAUUGCCGGCCCCAAAUCCACCACCAUUUCCACCCCCAUUACCACCGCCAUUGCCGCCUCCAAAGCCACCACCAUUUCCACCUCCAGCACCGCCGCCGUUGCCUCCUCCAAAGCCACCACCAUUUCCACCACCAUUACCACCGCCAUUGCCGCCUCCAAAACCACCACCAUUUCCACCUCCAGCACCGCCGCCAUUGCCGCCUCCAUAGCCACCACCGUUUCCACCCCCACACGCCGCCAUUGCCUCUCAUAGCCACACCACUGUUCACCCCAACGCCCCACAGCACNNNNNNNNNNNNNNNNNNNNNNNNNNNNNNNNNNNNNNNNNNNNNNNNNNNNNNNNNNNNNNNNNNNNNNNNNNNNNNNNNNNNNNNNNNNNNNNNNNNNNNNNNNNNNNNNNNNNNNNNNNNNNNNNNNNNNNNNNNNNNNNNNNNNNNNNNNNNNNNNNNNNNNNNNNNNNNNNNNNNNNNNNNNNNNNNNNNNNNNNNNNNNNNNNNNNNNNNNNNNNNNNNNNNNNNNNNNNNNNNNNNNNNNNNNNNNNNNNNNNNNNNNNNNNNNNNNNNNNNNNNNNNNNNNNNNNNNNNNNNNNNNNNNNNNNNNNNNNNNNNNNNNNNNNNNNNNNNNNNNNNNNNNNNNNNNNNNNNNNNNNNNNNNNNNNNNNNNNNNNNNNNNNNNNNNNNNNNNNNNNNNNNNNNNNNNNNNNNNNNNNNNNNNNNNNNNNNNNNNNNNNNNNNNNNNNNNNNNNNNNNNNNNNNNNNNNNNNNNNNNNNNNNNNNNNNNNNNNNNNNNNNNNNNNNNNNNNNNNNNNNNNNNNNNNNNNNNNNNNNNNNNNNNNNNNNNNNNNNNNNNNNNNNNNNNNNNNNNNNNNNNNNNNNNNNNNNNNNNNNNNNNNNNNNNNNNNNNNNNNNNNNNNNNNNNNNNNNNNNNNNNNNNNNNNNNNNNNNNNNNNNNNNNNNNNNNNNNNNNNNNNNNNNNNNNNNNNNNNNNNNNNNNNNNNNNNNNNNNNNNNNNNNNNNNNNNNNNNNNNNNNNNNNNNNNNNNNNNNNNNNNNNNNNNNNNNNNNNNNNNNNNNNNNNNNNNNNNNNNNNNNNNNNNNNNNNNNNNNNNNNNNNNNNNNNNNNNNNNNNNNNNNNNNNNNNNNNNNNNNNNNNNNNNNNNNNNNNNNGUAACCACUAUCUUGUCCACCUCCAACACCACUGCCACCACCGUAAUUACCACCUCCUAUCCCUCCACCGUUACCCCCACCGUAACCACCACCUUGUCCGCCUCCAACACCACUGCCACCACCGUAAUUACCACCUCCUAUCCCUCCACCGUUACCCCCACCGUAACCACCACCUUGUCCGCCUCCGACACCACUACCACCUCCUAUCCCACCGCCACCGACACCCCCACCUGAACCACCACCUUGUCCACCUCCAACACCAUUACCACCUCCUAUCCCGCCACCGGUACCUCCACCUGAACCACCGCCUUGUCCACCUCCAACACCACUACCGAAUCCUCCGCCGGUUCCAAGGCCUCCACUACCUCCUCCUGCACCACUUCCACCACCAAAACCAACUCCGGAGGCUUUAGAAACCUCAUCUUUCUCAAGUCUCCUACAUUCCGAAAUUCCAAUCACCAAUACCAACACCAGAAUCAUCACACCAGCAUACUUAAAAAGCCUCCCCAUCUUUCUAAAACAGUCAAAGAAAGACACAAAUGCUUGCUUUUGCUGUGAUGCUAAGCUUCGAAGCCCUAGAGCUCUAUUUAUAGGAUAACCAAAGCAAAACCGAUUAAUGCAUGCAGUUACGUGUUCUCUCUUGAAUCUUUGCAUGCAAUUAAUUAUCAGCGCACGUAGUUUUCUUACUUAAAUGAAACGUCCCAAAAUUCAACUCAGUUUGAAAAAAGGAACAUAUCAUCAGACAGCCCGUGAAAUAAUAAUGAGGUUGCGUUCCCCAUUAUUCAGCUACCAAUUAACAAAGGAAACAUGUACGAUAUCAUUCAUCAGUGACUAUUAAUUCUUAUCAACUUAAUUAGAUCACGAUAAGAUAUUGAAAGCUUGGCAACUUUAAAGUUAAUUAGACAUUGUUUUGCUCAAGGGACCAACAGUGUGUUAUGUACAGCUAGCUAAGCUAAGAGAUUUGGAGAUAUUAAUGCGUGCAAUCAAAUCAAAUGGACCAUACUCAGAGGCAGAGGGUAGUGGGGGUUGGCCUGGAUUGUAGCUGGGGUAGUCUUGGAAAAUUUUUCUAGGACCAUUAAUUUUAGGGUGAAAAACUAUAAACCACAUAGUAAUUAUUAUUAUUAUUAUUAUUAUCUCAUAUCCUAUUUUCACUCUUAUAAUUAUUAAGAUUUGAGACUCGCAAGUACUUAGUACCUCCGUUUUAUUUAACUGUUAAGGGGAGAAUAAGCAUGGGAGGCCCAAUUAAAAUGAUAAAAUGAUUACAAUAGGCUCACAGUCACAGCUGAUAGAAACUUUUGAUGUUAAUCUGCGAUGGCAUGAAAAAUAAUAGAACAAUUUCAGGGUUGACCAUUUUCUGUCUUGAAAAAAUCAUUUUUUAAGGGCUGAUUAAUCGGUUUUAAUUAGACAAAGUCACGUCUUUAUAUUUGCUUACCCCUGAGUACAUACUUGCUCUAGCCUCUAGUGGCAAUAAAAUUUUUUCUGUUUGUGUUUAUUAAAAAGAAUUAUAACGUUGAAUUGAAUGAAAGACAAGAAAUAAGAAUGUGAUAGUUUAUUUCAUAUUGAAAUUAAAACUUUCAAUAUCAAGUGAAUUUUGAAAAAUAACAUGUUGAGAAAAGUGAAAGAAUCAAAGAGUAUAAAUUAUUAAGAGAACAAAUUAGAAGGUGAGAGAAUAAAAAAUAAUAAUAAUACACUGUAGGGUCCACUUAUUAUUUAGUUUUGAAUUAAUAUUUAAUUUCAUCCAUUGUUAAACACUAAGAAUUUGUGUAUAUUCUUGUGUCAAAAAAAGGGGGCUUCAAAACCUAGUUAUCUCUAUUUAUAGUGGGGGUUCCUUCAUUUAAAAUUUUGACUUAAAAGUGAAAAUCGUGACUUUUAAUCUAAAAUUCAAUAAACGUGUAAGCAUACAUUCAAAGAUUAUUUCAAUUUAAUCUGGGUGAAAAAGAAAAAGAAAAUCAAAUGUACCACACGAGGAGAUGGAGACGGUGGGUAGAGGCCAGAAGGGCUAGCUUUUAGAAAAUUUCUUUUAUGUCCAUUAACUUUUGGAAAAUAUUUAUAAACCAUAAUGAGAUAAUUUUUUGUAUUGGUCCUUAACAUACAAAUUUUUUUUUUAAAUCUCUGACAAAAUAAAUAAUUUUCAUGACAAAACUAUGGUGCAACUGUGGUACCAUACCACAGCUGCACCUAGCCAUUAGAUUUAGCUGCACACAUAUACUAUAGCUGAAUCUAAUGGCUAGGUGCAGUUGUGGUAUGGUACCACAGUUGCACCAUAGCUAGACCCUAAUUUUCAUAUUUAAUCCCUAAAAGAUUCUUAUAUUUACAUUAAAAAAUUAUAAUUCAAAACAAUUACUCAAUUUUGUCUCAGGGGCUUAGCCCAAUAAGUUUCAAGCAACUUUUCUUAGUGCAUCACUCGACCUUAAAUCUUUAAGAAAGAAUGAGAUUAAAAAUUAAUGUAUGAUUUGGUCACUCAUCGACUUUUUAUUUUUAUUUUUAUAAAAAAAGAAUAAUACUUACUUUAGCAAGGGCUAAAAGAAGUGCAUAGUUAUCACACUCGUAUGUCAAUACUAGAGGUGGCCAAUGAGCUAGACGACAUAGGCACGACACAUGUCCGUAUAGUAUGGCACGGUACGAACACGUUUCGGUAGAGUACGCGGCAUGGUACAGCACGCACGUGAGCUGGACCUGGCUUAGAUUUUAGGCAUGUGGGCUUUAAAAGCACGACAUGAUUAGAGAUGGGCAAAACACAACAUGCGAAAAAACACGUUUAAUUUUUUAAUGAAAGUAAAUUUAAAAUUUUAUGAUUUUAUAAAUAACUUGAAAUUGAAUCUUUUAAUAUAUUUUAUUAGCUCAAGUUUUUUAAUUUAUUUAAUUCUUAGUUUCAAAAAUAAAAUAAAAUUGAUUUAUGUUUAUAAUUUAUUAAAUAAAUAAUUGAUAUCAUGAUUUUAUAAAUGUGUAUUAAUAUUAUUAUAAACUAUGAUAUAUGACUCUACGUAAUUCUAAGUUAACAAUUAAGUUAACCUUUAAAAAAAAUUAUUAUUGUUGUUGUUGCUGUUGUUAAGUACUAAAAAAAGAAUUAUAAUAUAGAGUCAAACUUAGUAAUUAAUAUUAUAUUCUCUUAUUAUUAUUAAUUUAUUAUUAUUGAAUAUGAACUUGAGUUUUGAAUUCUUUAUUCUAUUAAAUUUGAAUAAAGGCACGUGAAUCCAAAAAAAUACAAAAGCUUAAAAAAAAUAAGACAGCAACUUGACAUGCGCUUUAAAAAAAAAGAAAAAAAACUUAGUGAGCUUUUUUUCUUAGGCACUGCACGGCACGUGUGGUGGGCUGGGCCUAAGAAAAAAAAAAUUAAGCACGACGCGGCAUGAGCACGAGCACGCGUGGACUUCCUUUGACGGACCACCUCUAGUCAAUACAUUAAAAAAAAAAAACAGUUUCAAUAUUUUUAUGAAAACCUCGGGAGGGGGUUCGGCCCUUAUGCUUGAAUUCAUUGUGAGCCCAUCAAAACCCUACACUCAUCUGUUGUCCUCUUAAUCUUCAUAACAUCCAUAUUAAAUUACUGAGAAAUACGAAAGCGGAAGCGUACCUGAAUCCAUGGUGAUUCGUAGUGGUUCUUGAGUGUAGGAGAUGGACUUCCAAUCUUUUCUUUUUCUUGAGUUUAGAAUUCUCUUUGAGAGGAUUAGAGAAUUACAAAAGAUUAUUCGAGAGAUUGGGGACCAUAACCCCUUUUUAUAUAAAUAUCGUGACUAUUAGUUUUCUUUUUAGAAAAGCCAACAGUCACGUAUUUAUGAUAAUAAUCACUUCAGCCCCUCAUUAAAGUGAUGAUUAAAUUCUAGUAUCUAUGCAUUUAAUCCACAAUAAUUAUACCCUUAACCAUUUAAUGAACUUCAAUUAGAUCACGUAAUUCUUGGCUUAUUAAAUAAUAGCACACACAUUUUAUUUAUUUCAUGUGUGUCCCCAAAUAUAUUAGAUUAAUAUAAAAUUAAUCUAACAAUAUCUCCCACUGGGCCACAAAUGAAAAACUGAAAUGUGUCCAACUUAAUGAGCUCAUGAAAUUGCUAUUAUGUCCGUAGGGUAUAUAUGAACAAUCUAGUUCAAUAACUACUCGGUAUAUGAUCAUAGCGGCCUUUGUUACAUUAAUCGUAACGCAACCAUCCAUGGUCACAUAUAUCAAGAUAGUUACAUAACAUAGAUCAAUUGUGGAUGCAUAGCAUGGAAAUUACAUGCAAUGUGAUCUAAACAUGUCUAUUCCCAACUGGUCCUAAUUCACUUUAUUGAGAUCUAAACUUAAGUUAGUCCAACAGAGUGUAAGGAACCGAAAUACUGUAUUUCUGCAGAAAAUAAUCUGAAUAAUAUAAUCAAAAAUCUAAAAGUCGCACUUAGUAAUGGUACAAACUCCCACUAAAUCUGAAUAUCUUCAAAUAAAAUCACACCCAUACGAGCAGUGUGCUCAUGAAAGACUUUAGGUGGUAAUCCUUUAGUGAGCGGAUCCGCUAUCAUGGAGUUUGUCCCAAUGUGCUCUAUAGAUAUUUGUCCACUCUGUACUCUUUCCUUCACAACAAGGAACUUGAUGUCAAUGUGUUUUGACUUUGUAGAGCUCCUGUUGUUGUUGGAAUAUAAAACUGAUGACUUAUUGUCACAAAAUAUCUUGAGCGGUUUUUCUACACCCUCUAGAAUGCGCAGCCCAGUGACAAAAUUACGCAACCAUAUGCCUUGAUUAGACGCCUCAUAACAUGCUACAAACUUUGCUGCCAUAGUCGAUGAAGCUACAAGUGUCUGCUUGGCAGAUCUCCAAGAAAUUGCUCCACCAGCUAACAUGUAAAUAUAGCCUGAUGUGGAUCUUCGGCUAUCUUGGCAUCCAGCAAAAUCAGAGUCGGAAUACCCAAUGAUCUCUAACUGAUCCGACCUUCUAUAUGUGAGCAUGUACUCUUUUGUUCUCUAUAAGUACCUCAUAACCCGUUUGGCUGCUUUCUAAUGAUCCAUCCCGGGAUUGCUCAAAUAUCUGCCUAACAUGCCAACUAUGAACGCAAUAUCUGGACGCGUACAUACUUGAGCAUACAUAAGGCUCCCUAUAGCUGAAGAAUAAGGAAUCUUCUCCAUUUCCUGGAUUUCAAGAUUGGUCUUAGGGCAUUGACUAAGGCUGAAUUUAUCUCCUUUGGCGACAGGGGUGUCACCUGGUUUACUGUUUUGCAUGCCAAACUUCUUUAAAACUUUAUCGAUAUAGUUCCUUUGUGACAAUCCCAGAAUACCCCGAGAACGAUCCCGAUGUAUCUCGAUUCCUAAAACAAAGGAGGCAUCACCAAGAUCUUUCAUUUCAAAAUAUUUUGAUAGAAAACUCUUGGUGUCAUGCAGUAUGUCUAUAUCAUUUGUGGCAAGCAAUAUGUCAUCAACAUAUAAAACCAGGAAUAUAUGUUUACUCCCACUGAACUUGUGAUACACACAUUCAUCAAUAACAUUUGCCUUAAAACCAUAUGAGAUAAUUAUUUGAUGAAAUUUAAAGUACCAUUGACGAGAAGCUUGUUUGAGCCCAUAGAUGGAUUUGGUUAGCUUACAAACCAUUUUCUUUGGGCCUCCCAACACAAAGUUUUCUGGUUGUACCAUAUAAAUUGUUUCCUCAAUGUCACCAUUAAGGAAAGCAGUCUUAACAUCCAUCUGAUGUAACUCAAGAUCAAAAUGUGCAACAAGUGACAUAAUUGUCCUAAAAGAGUCUUUCGUAGAAACCGGAGAGAAAGUCUCUUUAUAGUCAAUUCCUUCCUUUUGAGUAAAGCUUUUAGCUACCAGACGUGCUUUAUACCUUUCCACAUUACCUUUUGAAUCCCUUUUGGUUUUAAAUAUCCAUUUACAACCAAUGGGCUUCGCACCAGAAGGUAAUGAGAUGAGUUCCCAAACUUUAUUGUCUUGCAUUGACUUGUACUCUUCAUUCAUGGCUUCGAUCCAUUUAUGAGAAUUGGAGCUUUGCAUGGCUUGAUGAAAGUUAAUUGGGCCAUCUUCCAUCACUCCAGUUUCAUCCUCAUGUUCCUGAAGAAAUACUAUAUAAUCAUCCGGAAUAGCAUUUCUCCUUUCUCUUGUGGAUCGUCUUAAUUGCACAGGCUCUUGAGGUUGUUGAGUUUGUUCCUCAGGAACAAUCAUUUCAUGUUGAUGUUGGGGUUGAACAAUAUUGUCAGAUGGUUGAGGAUCUGAAUUUACUUCAUGAUCAAUGACAGGUAUUAAAACUUGUACAUUGUCAAAAGCAACAGUGGAUCCCUCUUCAUCUUCAAAGACAAUGUUUCUUACUGGAUUUCUCCCCCCAAACUCAACAUCCUCAAAGAAUGUAGCAGUUCCCGUCUCAAAAAUUGACCUUGUAUUGGGAUCAUAAAACUUAAAACCCCUUGAUCGCUCUGCAUAGCCAACAAAGUAGCUGCUUACAGUUUUGGAAUCCAAUGUCCUUUCAUGAGGUCUAUAAGGCCUCGCCUCAGCUGGACAGCCCCAAAUAUGUAAAUGGUUUAGACUAGGCUUGCGACCCGUCCAAAGCUCAUAAGGUGUUUUAGCAGCCAUUUUAGUUGGCACUCGAUUUAGGAUAUAAGCUGCUGUUUUUAGUGCUUCACCCCAGAGUGAUUCUGGUAAAGUAGAAUGACUGAUCAUACUUCUUACCAUAUCCUUAAGAGUGUGGUUUCGUCUCUCAGAGACACCAUUCAUGUUAGGCGAUCCUGGUAUAGUAUAUUGAGGGACAAUUCCACAUUCCGCUAAGUAUUUAGCAAACGGUCCUGGACGUUGUUCACCUGAACCAUCAUAUCUACCGUAGUAUUCACCACCACGGUCAGACCUGACAUUUUUAAUCCUUUUGUUGAGUUGUAACUCAACUUCGGCUUUAAACGUUUGGAACACAUCCAAAGACUGUGAUUUUUCAUGAAUCAGGAAUAUAUAGCCAUAUCUCGAAUAGUCGUCUAUGAAGGUAAUGAAAUAUUGUUGACCAUUCCAAGUAGUUGUAGGGAAUGGUUCACAGAUAUCUGUAUGAAUUAAUUCUAAGACGGCUGAUGUUCUGUAGGCUCCUAAUUUCUUACUUUUGGUUUGUUUUCCCUUGAUACACUCAAUACAAACAUCAAGGUCUGUAAAAUCAAGAGAUCUUAAAAUCUCAUCAGACACUAAUCGCUCAAGUCGAGCUUUAGAGAUGUGACCUAAGCGUUUGUGCCAUAAUGAGGCUGAAUUUUCUUUUUCUAAUUUACGCUUUAUACUUCUGGAACUAAAAUGCAGGUUUUCAUUAUAACGUGAAACAGUGUCUAGCAAAUAUAGAUUGUCAUAAGCAUUAAGUAAACCGGUUCCAAUAACAUUAGAAUUGAUAGAUAAACUAAAUUGUCUGUUUACAAAUGAACAAGAAUAACCAGAUUUGUCCAAAACAGAAACUGAAAUUAAAUUCCGUCUAAAAGACGGAACAACAAAAGUAUCUAACAAAUCCAAAUAACAACCAGUUUUCAUAAGUAAUCUAAAAUGCCCAAUUGCUUCAACUUCUACCGUCUUGCCAUCUCCUACAUAAAUGCAUCUUUCAGCAUCACUUGGCGGCCGGUAGCUCAGGCAACCCUACAAUGAAACACAAAUGUGAGUAGUAGCACCCGAAUCUAUCCACCAUGUGUUUCUUGGUACUGAAGCUAAAUUAGUUUCAGAACAAACCAAAGUAAGAAAUGUACCUUUCUUUACGCGUCAUGCGUGAUAUUUUUGACAUUCCUUCUUCACAUGUCCAGGCUUGCCGCAGAAGAAACAGCCAUGCUCGGCCUUUGGUUUGUUUGGCUCUGGACCCUUACAAGCAGCAGCUUCACCUUUUUUCGUCCUUUUGCCCUUAUGUUUAGAAGUGCUUACCAUAUGUGCAUAUUCGGAUUUCUCUUGCUUCAUUCUCUCUUCUUCUUGCACACAAAAGGAAAUCAGUUCAUUGAGAUUCCAUUUUUCUUUCUGACAAUUGUAACUGACUUUCAACUGAUUAAAUUGUGUUGGGAGAGAGAUAAAGACCAAAUGCACAACCAAAUCAUCAUAUAGGUCGAGCCCUAAUGCCUUAAGCUUAGAAGCAAGAUGAGACAUCUCCAUGAUGUACUCCCGAACGUUUCCCUUGCCUUUAUACUUCAUUGAAAUCAAGCUUGCUAAAUGCGUACUUGUUUCAGCCUUAUCGUUUUUUGUAAAACGUUUCUGAAUUUCGGUAAGAAACUCACUAGCACUUGUAACCUCAUCAGUUGUAGCACUCCUAAAUACUUCUGGAAUACUGCGCUUCAUGAUCAUAAGACUUAUCCUGUUAGAUCGAUCCCACUUCUCAUAGUAUAACACAUCCUCAGAUGUACUAUCAUCAGUGAGUUCGUCCGGCUUAGGGUGUCUGAAUGAUAAGUCUAGAUCCAUGCAGCCUAAGAGAAUCAUCAUAUUCUCUUUCCAGUCCUUAAAAUUAGUCCCAUUUAGAACCGGGACACUAUUCAUGUUUGCAGAUAUAGAAGUAGCAGACAGAAAAGCUGAAUAAAGAAAAAAAAUAAUGCUCACAUUAAAUAACUCAAGUAAUAAUCUUUAAAAAUUAAAAAAAAUUAUAACAUUUCAAGAUACCUAGCACAACAUUAGUAACAAGUCUUUGGACUAUAAUACUAAUUGUAAAUGGUACUCUUGUUGCAAUGAUCAAAUUUUGACAAUAAAUUAUGUCAAGUAAUGAACUAAUCUUUGGAUUAGUAAAUUACUCACAUUAAGUUAUCUUAAUAAUCGUCACAAAUUUACCAUCACAAGUGUGUGUGUAAUUAGGCCAAAUAUUAACCUUCCUUUGGGUCGAUUAACAUCCGCAGUAAUUACACAAACACAAACAUCUAACACUUCAAAUAAACUACUCUACACAAGAGAUAUCACUUUGGUGACUUCUUGUUUUAAUUAGCAUAUCAUCAAUGUUAGACCAAUAAUAAACUUAUGUUAUAAAACCAUAACCGAAAUAAUUGAUAAAACCGAAACCGAAACGUGGUCUAACCACAACAAUUACAAAAUUUUAAGCAAAAUGAUAUUAAUAACUCAAUAAUCUAAUCAUGGAUGUGGCUCUGAUACCACUUGUUGUCCUCUUAAUCUUCAUAACAUCCAUAUUAAAUUACUGAGAAAUACGAAAGCGGAAGCGUACCUGAAUCCAUGGUGAUUCGUAGUGGUUCUUGAGUGUAGGAGAUGGACUUCCAAUCUUCUCUUUUUCUUGAGUUUAGAAUUCUCUUUGAGAGGAUUAGAGAAUUACAAAAGAUUAUUCGAGAGAUUGGGGACCAUAACCCCUUUUUAUAUAAAUAUCGUGACUAUUAGUUUUCUUUUAGAAAACCCAACAGUCACGUAUUUAUGAUAAUAAUCACUUCAGCCCCUCAUUAAAGUGAUGAUUAAAUUCUGGUAUCUAUGCAUUUAAUCCACAAUAAUUAUACCCUUAACCAUUUAAUGAACUUCAAUUAGAUCACUUAAUUCUUGGCUUAUUAAAUAAUAGCACACACAUUUUAUUUAUUUCAUGUGUGGCCCCAAAUAUAUUAGAUUAAUAUAAAAUUAAUCUAACAUCAUCAGUGUCUGGAACAAGGCCCGGUCCUUUUUUUUUUGUUUUUUUGGUUUUUUUAUAGGGACGAGGCCCGUUCUUGAUAAUAAAAAAAAUAGAAUAAUUGGUGUGAAGGCUGUUGCCACAAGAACCCAUCAAUGACUUCAUUUCUUUAAUGGUCAAAUCGUGUAAACAAUUGUUUUUUUUUUUAAACAAAAAUCUUCCACUGAAUUGUGUGAAAACCAUCGACCACAAAGGUCAAAUUUUGCGCUUAGUGUAUGUUGGCACCACGACUUCAACUCUCCUAUAUUCAUGGUGAUUGGUAGCUCUACUCUGAUACAAACUCAAAGUCCAUAUAUAGCUUCACGAGUUGAUUUUAUUUGAGUGUACAUUAUCUUAAUUUGCACAUAUGAUGAUACAAGUGAUCUUAACUUCUUAUUGACUCCUCAGCCGCUUGAAUAAGAUGUGCUCUUAAGUAUUUCUCUCUUUCCUGUUCAGGAACACAUUCAUGUAUGUUAUGAUAAAUUCAAAGUUACAUUAUUUUGAUUUUCUUUCUUCAGAAAAGUUAACGAAGGUAAAAAAAGGAUGGCCAACUAGUAGCUAACAGUUAGAUAGGGUUACAAGAAGAACAAAAAUUAUAAAAUUAUGCAUAUCGCAUACUUUAUGUAUUAUGUUAAAUGUACUAUUUUUCAUUUUUAAAGAGAGAUUGUUGUAACAUGUUCUAAGAGUUAGAAAUUUUAAUCCGGUCUAAUUUUGUUUUAACGAAUAAUUAAUAGAUAUCUAACUGUGUAAUAAAUGAUACUUUAAUUUCAAGGUUAUGUAAAUUCAUAGGAUAUUAGUUUUAAAUGAGACUAACAAGCUAAAAUAAAGACAUGUUUGGUAUUAAGGUUGGACAACUAUAGUUUGAAAGUUACAACACUAUACUGUUUAGUAAAUACUAUCUAUUAUAGUUAAGAAGUUAAAUUGAUUUAAUCAACUGCUUUUAUGAUGAAAAACUUAUGAUAUUUUUAAUAUUUUUGUCAAAAUUAUUAUUUAAAAGUUAUGUUUACUAUACAUUAUUAACUUUUAUUUUAUAAUUAUACUUUUAAUACCAAAUAGGAACUAAAAUUAUUAAGUAUAACUUAGUCUAGAAGAGGGCUCACCGUUAAUGGAGAUAUAGAGGCCACAAUCGUAUCCAAUUCCUCCAAACAUUCUUCUUCAAGCGCCACCGUGCUUACAAGCUCGGUAAGCAUAUACAGAAUCCUCUCACCCUGAGCAAAUUAUAUGAGAAUAGUCAAUAAACAUAAUUAUUGCUCGUAUGUAUACGUAUAUAUUAAUAAAUCAAAGUUAUAUCUUGCUAUAUAUAUAUUUUACGAUAAGACAUUGCACAAGAAAUUUCCCAUUUCGUCCCCGUUGGCACAUCCUUCAUGAUUUGGGGUAUAUCCCCCUAAUUAGUGCCUCCUAUUUCAUCCUAUUAUCCACUUAGUUUUUAUAUUUUAAAAAUUAUCUAAAACACUUAUCAUAUAUCUAUAUUUAUGUUAAAAUCUAUCUAAUUUUAUUUAUUUUUCAUGUGUUGCAUGUCGGAUUUAUUUGAAUUUAAAUUAUAUGAAACAAUCAAACAAACAUUAUUUUACUCUUGAAAAAUCAUAUCUGUCAACUACAAGAGCAACAACAAGAGUAUUUUAGAUAAUAUUUAAAAAUAUUAAAACUAAUUGAGUAAUUGACUGAAAUUAUAGGGACUAAAAAAACAUGUACUCCCAAAUUUGUAUGGUGACAAAAAAAAUUCUAAGUUAAAAAAAAAAAAUUUGCGAUGUAAAAGAAAAUUGAACCUGUGGGAGCAGGAAUUUAGUAAUUGUUGCUUCUAUGCCAUUCAUUACUUGCGAGGCUGUGCUCAUGGCCUCAUAGAUGGACUUCACGUCUGCCUGCAAAUAACAAAAUCAUAAUUACAAUUGACUAAUUUCUUUUUUUUUUUAAGGUAUCAUUGACUAAUUCUUAUUAGAAAAAACUGUGGCAAAACAUUUAGAAAUGGGCAUUAUGCAUGUAGUCGGAAUUUUAAACUGCGAGAACGUUCGGAAAAAUACAUAAACUAUGCAGUUUAAGUGCUUUAAAUUAGUCUUUAAAAUCCCGCAUUUUUAAAGUAUUCUCAUAUUUUUCCUACACUUUAAGAUCUUGGACCAGAAAACUACUAAUAUAUAUAUAUAUAUAUAAUUCAAAUACAAAAGCAUAAUAAUAUUAAUUUAUAUAUAGUGGGGUUUAACUGAAACAUUAGCCAAUUUGCGUAUAAGUUUUAUGUAUUGGCCCCCAAAACAUACUGUUUUUAGAUUACGGCCUCUUCAAGUUGUUGUUUCUCUUUUAUGCUGUAUGCUUUUUUCGAAUAAAUAACAAUGAUUAAGAGGUGAUAUGGUAUUCUCCUCAUCUCAUGUAAGAAUCACACAGAUUCUGCCACUGAGUAUAAUUAAGACUCAAAUUAUGUAAGGGAAGAAAAGUGAUGCGCACCUGAACAUCAUCAUCACAAGGGAUUUUCACACAGAGAGCUGAUAAUUUUCUUGUAACCCUGCCGACUGCUUCAAUAUUUUUCCCCUCCAAUUUUGCCCAAUCGUUGAGUAGACGAAUUUGUGGAUUGACAAUCUGACAUAGCUUGAUCUCAUGUUGCAACUUGUGCACUUCAAUUUUCUUCUCUAAAAUUAGAUUUCUCAUUUUUAAUACUCUGAGCCACACUCCAAAUAUUUUACCCUGAAAAUUGUUUAAAAAUCAUAUAGGUAAAUUUACAAGACGACCAUCCGUAACCGUACAAAUGAAAUCAAUAUUUUGGUUUGCCGGGGCAAACUUGGGAAGAUCAUUUCAUAAAAAAUAUAAAUCUGAGAGGUACAUAAAAAUGAGUGUAACUUCAGUUUCUUUUUGAACUUAAGUUUAGUUUCAAUUUCUUGUCAUGUUAAUUUGAGUCUAGUUUUUCUUUUUAAAAAUCUAUAUACCUUUUUAACACUUAGGUUGGCAGGGAAAAAAAAUAAUUAUUGAUACUAAUUAGCAUAUAUAUUGUUUUAAAAUUCUCAAAGAAAUGUAUUGUUUUAGAAUUUAAAUUAAUAAUGAAAAAUCAUUUACCUCAGCAGCAGUCUUUAAAGAAGCCGCGGCAGCUUCAGCUCUAGCAUUUGCAAGCCUAUACUGCAGCAAUCUAUUAUGCAAAACUCGAAACCUGUGAUACUCCUCUUCUUGCUCCGGUGGCACUUUCUUCUGCCUAAAGUAGUUCAAAAAUCCGGUUACACCGCCGCCGAUGCCUCUAGAUUUCACCCUCCGAGCUCCAUUUUCCGGUGAGGACUCCGGCCGUACCAUACAGGGGGAAGAUCGUCCCGGUGACAACUCCCACGCCGACGGAGAGCUCGUGACCGAUUUGACCUUAGUACUCUUUGCUACUGCAUGAUCAGAAAUGUAAUUAUUACGUGGACUGCCCCUUUGCAACAGCCUACCAAAACCAUUUUUGUUGUCCUUAAUGUUUUUNNNNNNNNNNNNNNNNNNNNNNNNNNNNNNNNNNNNNNNNNNNNNNNNNNNNNNNNNNNNNNNNNNNNNNNNNNNNNNNNNNNNNNNNNNNNNNNNNNNNNNNNNNNNNNNNNNNNNNNNNNNNNNNNNNNNNNNNNNNNNNNNNNNNNNNNNNNNNNNNNNNNNNNNNNNNNNNNNNNNNNNNNNNNNNNNNNNNNNNNNNNNNNNNNNNNNNNNNNNNNNNNNNNNNNNNNNNNNNNNNNNNNNNNNNNNNNNNNNNNNNNNNNNNNNNNNNNNNNNNNNNNNNNNNNNNNNNNNNNNNNNNNNNNNNNNNNNNNNNNNNNNNNNNNNNNNNNNNNNNNNNNNNNNNNNNNNNNNNNNNNNNNNNNNNNNNNNNNNNNNNNNNNNNNNNNNNNNNNNNNNNNNNNNNNNNNNNNNNNNNNNNNNNNNNNNNNNNNNNNNNNNNNNNNNNNNNNNNNNNNNNNNNNNNNNNNNNNNNNNNNNNNNNNNNNNNNNNNNNNNNNNNNNNNNNNNNNNNNNNNNNNNNNNNNNNNNNNNNNNNNNNNNNNNNNNNNNNNNNNNNNNNNNNNNNNNNNNNNNNNNNNNNNNNNNNNNNNNNNNNNNNNNNNNNNNNNNNNNNNNNNNNNNNNNNNNNNNNNNNNNNNNNNNNNNNNNNNNNNNNNNNNNNNNNNNNNNNNNNNNNNNNNNNNNNNNNNNNNNNNNNNNNNNNNNNNNNNNNNNNNNNNNNNNNNNNNNNNNNNNNNNNNNNNNNNNNNNNNNNNNNNNNNNNNNNNNNNNNNNNNNNNNNNNNNNNNNNNNNNNNNNNNNNNNNNNNNNNNNNNNNNNNNNNNNNNNNNNNNNNNNNNNNNNNNNNNNNNNNNNNNNNNNNNNNNNNNNNNNNNNNNNNNNNNNNNNNNNNNNNNNNNNNNNNNNNNNNNNNNNNNNNNNNNNNNNNNNNNNNNNNNNNNNNNNNNNNNNNNNNNNNNNNNNNNNNNNNNNNNNNNNNNNNNNNNNNNNNNNNNNNNNNNNNNNNNNNNNNNNNNNNNNNNNNNNNNNNNNNNNNNNNNNNNNNNNNNNNNNNNNNNNNNNNNNNNNNNNNNNNNNNNNNNNNNGAAAUUAUAUUGAGAUGUUGAGAGCACGUUGAGCUCAGCUUUUUCCAUUGUAUUGGUUAAUAUUAUUCUCUUUUCCAUAGUUUAUAGCUCUCACGUCAAGGCUUUCACGUACGAAGAAGGAAUCUCAAUAUAAUGGGAUAUAUUUGAGGCCUUUGAAUAUUAAAGAAGCAUUAUAUUUUAAUCAAGAAUUAGGCAACGGAAAAAUAUUUUAAUAUGUAGUUGAAUAUAGAUAUGGUUAAUUUAAUGUUUAUUGACCUCCAUUUAAUUUGAUUUCAUAGUAUCUUUCCCAUGAUUAAAGAAAAGCGUUUCUAAGAGGGUCUAUUUUUGGGUACAUAUGUAUUGAGUCCUAAGCUUUUGUUUCUUCUUCUUUGGCUUUUGUCUUUUUCAAUUUUUGGAAUUUCUGUUCAUCAUUCCAUAGCCUAUUUCUUUUCACUAUUAUAUAUAUAUAUAUAUGUUGCCGAUUUAGAACUUGCAUGCAUGUCUUCCUUGGUUCCAAUAAUUAUGCUAUUGAAGAAUAUUAUAUACAUGAAUGUUUUGAAGAGUGUUACACAUUUGAAUAUUAUAUUCUAACUUUGAGAUUUCAAUGAUAACUUGGUGUCAGUGCUCUAGAAUAAUAAAAUUGAAGUACGGGUAGUUGAUUUAAUUUAGUUUGAUCUUAAUGGAUAAUGCCUCUUUUAUUCGAGGUGAUUAAUUAGAAUUUGGAUUCAACGUUUAGCUAAUCUAUAUUAGUUUUCUAAUAACAUUCUGCCACACAUUUAGUUUCAGUAGUAUACCUUUAAGUUUCUUUGGACUAUCUUUUCAAAUAGAGUUAAUUUAAAUAGAGAUUUCACAAUGUAAAAUAUUUUAGUUAUUUUGUUGUCAAUGAGAGCUUAAUUUUAUUAAAUUGUAAAAGAGAUAUUAUCAUUUUCCCACCAAAGAUAUUCUGACACAUCAUGUCAGUACCAUAGUUUGGUAAAAACAUCAUUUUACCACCAAACGUUUAAACUGUUAGUAUUUUCCCACCAUUCUGUUAAAACUGAGUUAAUAUUUAACGAAAAAUGCAUAAAAAGUCAAUUUUACCCUUGGAGCGUAAAAUAUGAUUUUACCCUUUAAAAAUGAAGAACAACAAAAGAUGAUUUAAUUACAAAAUUACCGCCAAAAGUAGCCGUUACAUUCAAAUAAUGGCUACUUUUGUGCUUAUAAGAGUUGGCUGCAACUAGCAACCCCAAUUCAAAGAUUAGCAACCCCAUUUGAGCACCACCAACCCCAGCUGAAAAAGAAAGAAAAUGGCAACCCAACAACUCAAAUUUUAAAGCAUUUCAAUACCACUACACUAGCAAGCCCAUCCAUUUUUAAACACCAGCAAGCUCAUUUUAAUACUAGCAAUCAGGCCAUUUCAACAGUGGCAACCACAUUUCAAAAAGUCAGAAAAUGACAUGCCCAACUCACAGACAGCAAAACCAAACAUACUUUAUCAUUCAAAGACAUUAAGAAUAAGCCACUGUAAACACUACAUUUCGUCUAAGCUCAAAAAAUCCAGCUCUUCUCAAUCUUCAUUCAAAACCAAACAUACUUUCAGCCUUGAUACACAUAAAUUCAAACAAAACAAUGGCCUCCAGUAGUAACUUAAGUGCUAAUACCAGGGUUCGAGUUAAGAAACGUGCUGAAGUUACCUACUACCCUAAAUACUGCAAUUGUGGAGUGUAGGCAUGUGCAAUGGUAUCUACUAUCUCGGAAAAUCCUAAUGAGCUCUUUUGGACAUACAGGUUUAAAAAGAGUAAUUUUUUGCAAUGGGCAACAAAAAAAGAUAUGGAAAUGCGUAACACUACAUCCGGUCAUGGCAUGAACCUAAAUGAAGAUAUGAUGAAGAUAAGUGAAUGGCUACGAUGCAUUUAAGCGAAACUGAAAUUGGUCAUAGUUUUUAUUUGUGGUCUUAUGAUAGGCUUAUCUAUGAGGAAUAAUGUAAUAAACAUGAAAAAAAAUUGUAGCAAUCAAUCAUUGUAGUUGAAGAUGUAAUGAAGCAUUAUAGUUUAAGAUGUAAUGAAAAUCGAAAGUACUCAAAACAGUUUGUGCAUUCAAAAUACAUAAUAUAACAGCAGUGAAUACAGUAAAAAACAGUUUGUGGAUUCCAAAAACAUAACAGCAACUUAAUGCACUAAUAUAAAGUUUGUGCAUCUAUAAUACAUAACAACACCCUAAUGUUAAUAUUUCAUAAAGCAUCUAAUAUCUGUGAAGCUUGUGAGCCUUGAGUUGGAUUCAGGGAAACAUUAUCAGCUUCAUAUUGGCCUAGACAAAAAAAUUAUUGCCUCAUUAUCUAAGACCAGCAAUAGCUAUUUGCAGACAUCAAACAUUAAUUUGAAACAGUAACAAACUCUUGUAUCUCUAGUUGUCAUUCUUCUAUUAUCUCCUCUUACUCCACCCCUUGCUCUUGCUCUAUUACCCCCUUGGCUCCUUCGACUUCUAUUCCCUCCUCUUCCUCUAUUGCCAAUACCUCCUCUUCCUCUAUGAGCAAUAAAGCUCUCUUGUGAACCACCUACAACCUAUUUAAAUUGAAAUAUAUAAAUAAUUGAAUCAUCAAUAUGUAUAGCAAACUAAAUAUUAUUCAAUUAAUAACAAAAAAUGAAUUACUAUUUUCUUUGUCCUCUUCAAAGUACUUGCUACAUUGAAACUUUCUCCCGACCCACUAACUCCCUACUUAAAAUUACAUAGAUAACAAUAAAAAUUAAGUUCAAUACACGUAAAAGCAAUUAAUACAAUAGGUUUAAUAUACUGUUACCUGAUUCUGGGCUCUUAAUUCUCUUGCUAUCGAUGGCCUUAAUGCACAUUUCCUGACAUUGUGGUUCAUCCCACCAUAAAAGGAACAUCAGAUAUAAAAUGAUCUUUUUUUUUUUAUUGGCUCAGUGGCUGCUCUUUUCCUUAACUUUUUGGUCUUCCAAUCUUCUUGGUAAUCUCAGGUGGAGAGAGCUUGGGCCUAUCACAAGGGUCCCAUGUAACUUUGUCAGGAAUUGGCUUGAACAUCACUGCAUAUGUGUUUAAGUACGCCUCUUUGGUAAGUAUUUUGGUAGAUACUAUGUUGUCGUGUGCCUAGCAUGACUAAUUGCAGCCCAUAGUAUGAGUACAUGGGAUUCCAGCUAGGUCACAAUAACCACAAUCACAGGACCUGCUCACGAGAUCGACAAUGAACCUCCUUACUGGAUAAUAACCCUUGUCUUUAACCUAACAAAAAUUUGAAUAAUGAUUAAAAGAAGCACAUUCAGGUUCAAGAAAAAAUUAAUUAUAAGGAAAAUGAGUGAGAAUUAUACUUGAAAGUGAAGAUCCCCAGAAGCCAUUAUAUUUUUUUUUUUCACUCUAGGUGGAAUGUUGGUCCAAGAUUGUUUUUUUUUUUCCUUUCUGUGAAGAGUGUCAUAAGCGUGCAUCUAAUUCCUUCAAGCAUGGUCAAGCAAGGCUUCUCUUUGUGAGGUAAAAUCUAACUAUUGAAACACUCUGAAGUGUUGUUAGUUGUACGAUUUACUUUGCAAUUAUUGUCAUAUUCAUAUCUUGACCAAGUAAACCCAGCAAACUCAGUCUCUAGCCACUGUCAUGCCUCUAACUCCUCUUUUUUUAGCAUUUCCAUUGCAAUCGUGUAAUCAUACUUGUUAGUGCUACUGACAACCAUCCAAAAUAGAUUUCUCAGACUAACACUAGGAUGUUCUUUGUAGAAGUUAGCAUAUACGUGUCUAGCACAUGGUUUGUGAUAUGUAGUAGGCCAUGUCAUUUCAAUCACCCCCAACAAACCUUUUUGCCUAUUUGUUCAAAAUGUAAUAUGGUCUAAUCCAUUAUUAAAAUAUGAAUACAUAAUUUCUAAAAAACCACGUCCAGGUUUCAGUAUUCUCUAUCUCACACACUGUUAAUGCUAAUGGGACCAUUCCAUUAUUAGCAUACAUACCCACAACGGCUAAUAGAACUCCACUAUAUUUUGAUUUCAAGUGACACCUGUCCAACCCGAUAUAUGGCCUACAACCAUUGCUAAAGGCAUUUUUUUGAGCUAGAAAUGCCAUAAAGAAUCUCUAAAAGAGCGCUUUCUCAGGCCUAGUUACAGCGUCACAAAGCACUUUACAAAUUGCACCAAGAUCAUACUUGUGAAUCACUGCAGUAUAUUGAAACAAAUCUUUAUAUCCCUUCGCAUGAUCUCCAUUAAUGUCUUUUCUUGCCCUCUCUCUAGCCCUAUAUAGUUUUAAAUCCCAUAUCCGCACACCAUAAGUCUCCUGCAUAAACUCGUGAAGACCAGAAAUCUUCACAUGAGGAUCUACAACAACUUUGCUCUUAAUUUUCUCUGCUAUCCAUUUACUGCUCACAGCCACUGACCUUUCAGUCUGUCUACAUUCAUGCUUCUUCUGCAACUCUUUGAUUGCAGAUCCACUCUUACCCCUUAUUUUACCUCUCAUCACAUACCAUGAACAAUCAUCAAUCUUGCAUUUCUCGUAAAAUCUCCUAGGCUCAUUGUAUACCUUUGUAAUUUCAAAGCCUUUAUCCACCAUCACUUUACCUAACACAUAUUUAAAAUGCUCAACAUCAUCAAAUACAUCUCCUAACCUCAGUCUAUGUUUACCAUUACGCCCUGGCUUAUAUGCAUGCACUUCAAUAUAAUUCUUUAGCUGAGUGGUACCCAAAUCAUAAUCUAAAUCUUAUGUGUCUGCUAACAGUUCAUGAUCUACUUUAGCUGUUUCAUCGUCAAAACUAGAACCCCUGACAUUAUCCAUAAUAUCUGCACCCUUAGCUACAUUUUGGUCAUCGUCAUCAUCAUCAUCAUCAGUGUCAUCUAUACGACUCCCAUCAGUUGAAUAUACUACAUCAUCAUCAUCAGUCUCAUGCCCAUCAUUCUCAUUCAGCUCUGUUGGUGGCCCUUGUAUGCCUUCAGUCCUAGGUGGUGGUUCAUUUCCACCGUUAUUCACCCAUGUAAUUUGCUCUGCGGAUAGCUGCACUCCAAAGUUAUAUAGCAUCGCUUGUAACACCCCCACAAAAUGGUAAAUCAGGACGUAGGGUUGGCAAAAUUGUGGCUUCAAACACUGCCACUUCCAUUGAAUCAUGUGCACCGAACUGAACCUGCAAGGCUGCCUCAGAAUCUAUAAUAAUCGAAAGCUUGUUCCUUGGGUUGGUAACCGAUAACUGCACACUUUCAGGAGUCGUCAACCCAUGCUCAUUAAUAAUCUUCAAUGCUUCAUUCUUCAUCUGCUGCAGGGUAUCUUCAUCAGGUUCAAUCAACCCUAUACGGUGUCUUUCACCUUUGUAUAGUAAAUGUAGUUGUAUUGGUAACAUCAUCUACAAGAUUAAAAACGAGGAAAAAUUAUGAAUAACCAAAAUUACAGCACAACUCAAAGCAAUUUAAUUAGGUAAAAAGUAAUGAAAAAUAACAAAAAUUAUGGCCAAUAACCAAAAUUACAGCAAAACAGCAAAUGCAUGUAAGCUCGACGGUUACAAAUAAAAGAUUAAUUAACAGUAAGCAACUAAUAAUCCUAAUCUAUUAAAUUCAAGUGCUAAUCACAACUCAAAGCAAUUUAAUUAGGUAAAAAGUAACGAACAAUAACCAAAAUUAUGCCCAAUAACCAAAAUUACAGCAAAACGGCAAAUGCAUGUAAGCUUGAUGAUUACAAAUACAAUGGCAAAAAUUAAUUAACAAUAAGAAAGUAGUAUAUUGAACAUAACCAAAAAAGAAAAAGAAAAAAGAGGUCAACAACUUACAAUGAACAGAGUAUAAGACAGUAGAGAUGGGAACAACACUGGUACGAGAGUGAGAGAGAUAUGGGUCAGUGACAAUGAGCGAGAGAGGGCGGAGAUGGAACAAGAAACGAGAGAGAGGGGGUUGAUUUCGAUUUCUAGGGCUUCCAUGUCCAAAUUGCUUUUUUUUUUUUACAAUUGCAAACGCAACGUUUUGGCUUCACGUGAGAUGUCCAAAAUACCCUUAUAACGUCAGUAUAAUUUUUAUUCAGUUAACAGAAUGGUGGAAAAAUACUAACAGUUUAAACGUUUGAUGGUAAAAUGAUGUUUUUACCAAACCGUGGUACUAACAUGAUGUGUCAGAAUAACUUUGGUGGAAAAAUGCUAAUAUCCCAUUAUAAAAUUACUUUAAUGAGCAAAUUUUUUAAAGUUUUAGUAUGAAAGAAAUGAAAUAAAAUUGUCAAAUAAAUAAAGGAUAUUUUAAAUAAUUUAACAUUUUGAAAAACAAUUUCAACUUCUACUCCCAAUAGCCCAAAAUUUGAUAUUAUUCUAAAAGAAGCAAAUAGUUUAUCUAAAUUCAAAAGCUUUACUAAAAAAUAAACAGACAAAAAAAUGAUAAGAGCUUAUGAGAUUAAAUAAACACUAAUGUCCAUUAAAUAUAUGAUACCAAAUAGAUACUUAAGUUGAAUUAAAUCUUAAAACAUUUGCAUCAAUUUCACAAUGUAUGCUCACGACAUAAGGUAAACGCUCAUUUAGUCUUUAUCUUAUGAGAUUGGUAUUAGUUUAGUCCCUAUAUUUUUAAAAGUAUCUCAAAACAUUCCUAUCAUUAAACUAUUGACACCCGUGCCAUUAUUUUUUGUUCAUUUGGUUUGCUUUUACAAUAUUUCCCUCUUACAAUAAGAUUUCUUUUUUAGACAUUAAGAAAAAGAAAAACUAAAUUGCCAAUUUAGUCCCAAAAAUAAAAUAAAAAUAAAAAGAAUAUAUAUUAGUUUUUUUGGGAGCUUGUGUAUGUCCCCAAAAAAUGAUAUUGUAAAAAAACUAAAUUAAUAAUUUUUUAGAUAUUAAUAAAAAUGGCUAAUAUAUUAACUCCUUAGUAGAGUGUUCUACAAAAAUUAAUAUAUAUUCCUUUUGUUUCUAUUUUCUUUUUUGGGUUUAAAUUGAUAAUUUAAUUUUUUUAUUAAUCUCUAAAAAAAGAAAUAUUU
RNAcentral lists this long non-coding RNA (41939 nucleotides) under Citrus x clementina. Its description in RNAcentral is "Citrus clementina (C. clementina) long non-coding RNA (CCLE_LNC000554)". The record is from RNAcentral. Lineage: Eukaryota; Viridiplantae; Streptophyta; Magnoliopsida; Sapindales; Rutaceae.